Molecule: long non-coding RNA, 342 nt
Organism: Pan troglodytes (chimpanzee)
Lineage: Eukaryota; Metazoa; Chordata; Mammalia; Primates; Hominidae
Exons: 2
Source: RefSeq, a predicted model, not a curated record
CUAGAUUUUAAGUUUUGUGAGUCCGGAAACCUUGUCUCUUAUUCACACCUGUAUUCCCAUCAUUUAGUAGGCAGUCUUGUACAUGAGUAUUACCUAGGAUUGAUUCAGUGCUUGGAGCAUGGCCCUUCUGCUUCCAUGACCCAGAAUUUAGAUUUGUUCCACGAUGCUGCAAGAUGGCCAUUAUAGGUUAAGAAACCUUUGGUAGACUCUUCUGGGAAUCUAAUCAUCACUCAUAUUGCUUGUCAGUAAUAUUUAAGCCUAAAUAAUGGUCAAACUUAAACAUAUCCCCUUUGGGAACAUGGCCAAUCUGUAUUUGGGAAUAAACAAUAUUUAAAGUUUUCA